Molecule: long non-coding RNA, 223 nt
Filed under: Lathyrus oleraceus (garden pea)
Lineage: Eukaryota; Viridiplantae; Streptophyta; Magnoliopsida; Fabales; Fabaceae
Description: Pisum sativum (pea) long non-coding RNA (PSAT_LNC013969)
Source: RNAcentral
AAAAAAAAAAAAAAAAAAAAUUUAAAAAAAAAAAAAAAAAAAAAAAAAAAAAAAAAUAAAAAAAAAAAAAAAAAAAAAAAAAAAAAAAAAAACAAAAAAAAUAAAAAAAAAAAAAAAAAAAAAAAAAAAAAAAAAAAAAAUUUAAAAAAAAAAAAAAAAAAAAAAAAAAAAAAAAAAAAAAAAAAAAAAAAAAAAAAAGAAACAAAAAAAAAAAUAAAAAAAA